GAUGAACGCUGGCGGCGUGCCUAAUACAUGCAAGUCGAGCGAACAGACGAGGAGCUUGCUCCUCUGACGUUAGCGGCGGACGGGUGAGUAACACGUGGAUAACCUACCUAUAAGACUGGGAUAACUUCGGGAAACCGGAGCUAAUACCGGAUAAUAUAUUGAACCGCAUGGUUCAAUAGUUCAAGACGGUUUUGCUGUCACUUAUAGAUGGAUCCGCGCCGCAUUAUCUAGUUGGUAAGGUAACGGCUUACCAAGGCGACGAUGCGGAGCCGACCUGAGAGGGUGAUAGGGCAAAAUGGAAAUGGAAAAAGGUCCAGAAACCUAAGGGAGGCAGGAGGAGGGAAACAUCCGAAAUGGGCGAAAGCCUGACGGAGCAACGCCGCGGGAGUGAUGAAGGUCUUCGGAUCGUAAAACUCUGUUAUUAGGGAAGAACAAAUGUGUAAGUAACUAUGCACGUCUUGACGGUACCUAAUCAGAAAGCCACGGCUAAAUACGUG
RNAcentral lists this ribosomal RNA (497 nucleotides) under uncultured bacterium. RNAcentral's name for it is "partial 16S ribosomal RNA". It matches the Rfam family "Bacterial small subunit ribosomal RNA", at positions 28 to 507 of the family's 1533-position model. The record is from RNAcentral.